AGGACGAACGCUGGCGGCGCGCCUAACACAUGCAAGUCGAGCGAUAACCAGGGCUUGCCCUGGGGACAGCGGCGAACGGGUGCGUAACACGUGAGCAACCUGCCCCAAAGACCGGGACAACCCGAGGAAACUCGGACUAAUACCGGAUGCCCUCACCGGGCCGCAUGGUCUGGUGAGGAAAUGGAUUCCGCUUUGGGAUGGGCUCGCGGUCUAUCAGCUUGUUGGUGGGGUAACGGCCUACCAAGGCGACGACGGAUAGCUGGUCUGAGAGGACGAUCAGCCACACUGGGACUGAGACACGGCCCAGACUCCUACGGGAGGCAGCAGUGGGGAAUCUUGCGCAAUGGGGGAAACCCUGACGCAGCGACGCCGCGUGCGGGAUGAAGGCCUUCGGGUUGUAACCGCUUUCAGCAGGGACGAAUUGACGGUACCUGCAGAGAAGGCCGGCCAACUACGCGCCAGCAGCCGC
RNAcentral lists this ribosomal RNA (469 nucleotides) under uncultured bacterium. Its description in RNAcentral is "SSU rRNA". It matches the Rfam family "Bacterial small subunit ribosomal RNA", at positions 26 to 518 of the family's 1533-position model. The record is from RNAcentral.